This 497-nucleotide ribosomal RNA is filed under the name uncultured bacterium. RNAcentral describes it as "partial 16S ribosomal RNA". It matches the Rfam family "Bacterial small subunit ribosomal RNA", at positions 28 to 507 of the family's 1533-position model. The record is from RNAcentral.
GAUGAACGCUGGCGGCGUGCCUAAUACAUGCAAGUCGAGCGAACAGACAAGGAGCUUGCUCCUCUGACGUUAGCGGCGGACGGGUGAGUAACACGUGGAUAACCUACCUAUAAGACUGGGAUAACUUCGGGAAACCGGAGCUAAUACCGGAUAAUAUAUUGAACCGCAUGGUUCAAUAGUGAAAGACGGUUUUGCUGUCACUUAUAGAUGGAUCCGCGCCGCAUUAGCUAGUUGGUAAGGUAACGGCUUACCAAGGCAACGAUGCGUAGCCGACCUGAGAGUGUGAUCGGCCACACUGGAACUGAGACACGGUCCAGACUCCUACGGGAGGCAGCAGUAGGGAAUCUUCCGCAAUGGGCGAAAGCCUGACGGAGCAACGCCGCGUGAGUGAUGAAGGUCUUCGGAUCGUAAAACUCUGUUAUUAGGGAAGAACAAAUGUGUAAGUAACUAUGCACGUCUUGACGGUACCUAAUCAGAAAGCCACGGCUAACUACGUG